This 187-nucleotide non-coding RNA is filed under the name Bacillus gaemokensis. RNAcentral describes it as "Lysine sequence". It matches the Rfam family "Lysine riboswitch aptamer". Rfam says of the family: Riboswitches are metabolite binding domains within certain messenger RNAs that serve as precision sensors for their corresponding targets. Allosteric rearrangement of mRNA structure is mediated by ligand binding, and this results in modulation of gene expression. Lineage: Bacteria; Bacillati; Bacillota; Bacilli; Caryophanales; Bacillaceae. The record is from RNAcentral.
ACGUGAGAUAGAGGUUGCAGCGCUUAUAAGUAUUCUAAAGGAGACAAAGAGAUGUCGAUGAAUUUAGAAAAAAGGAAGUGUUGCCGAAAUUAAUAAAUUUCUCUGCAUUUAUUAAUUGGGGCUGUUUUCGAAUAGAAACAGAACUGUCAUAUGUACAGACGUGUACAUAUGAAGAGCUAUCUACAAA